GUGACUGUGGUGUAGCGGCAACUGCACACCUGGAUGUGGCCCAGGAGGUCGGGGUUCGACUCCCCGCAGUCACC
Molecule: transfer RNA, 74 nt
Filed under: Nocardioides sp. Root614
Lineage: Bacteria; Bacillati; Actinomycetota; Actinomycetes; Propionibacteriales; Nocardioidaceae
Rfam family: tRNA
About the family: Transfer RNA (tRNA) molecules are approximately 80 nucleotides in length. Their secondary structure includes four short double-helical elements and three loops (D, anti-codon, and T loops).
Source: Rfam by way of RNAcentral